This 207-nucleotide ribosomal RNA is filed under the name uncultured bacterium. Its description in RNAcentral is "partial 16S ribosomal RNA". It matches the Rfam family "Bacterial small subunit ribosomal RNA", at positions 568 to 774 of the family's 1533-position model. The record is from RNAcentral.
CGCGUAGGCGGAUUAGAAAGUUGGGGGUGAAAUCCCGGGGCUCAACCCCGGAACUGCCUCCAAAACUACUAGUCUAGAGUUCGAGAGAGGUGAGUGGAAUUCCGAGUGUAGAGGUGAAAUUCGUAGAUAUUCGGAGGAACACCAGUGGCGAAGGCGGCUCACUGGCUCGAUACUGACGCUGAGGUGCGAAAGUGUGGGGAGCAAACA